GAGUUUGAUCGUGGCUCAGAUUGAACGCUGGCGGCGUGCUUAACACAUGCAAGUCGAACGCGAAAGUGGCUUCGGUCACGAGUAGAGUGGCGCACGGGUGAGUAACGCGUGGAUAAUCUGCCCUCAUAACCGGGAUAACAGUUGGAAACGGCUGCUAAUACCGGAUACGCUCUGAAUGAACUUUUAGGGGAAAGACGGCCUCUGCUUGCAAGCUGUCGUAUGAGGAUGAGUCCGCGUCCCCAUUAGCUGGUUGGCGGGUAACGGCCCACCAAGGCAACGAUGGGUAGCCGAUCUGAGAGGAUGAUCGGCCACACUGGAACUGAAACACGGUCCAGACUCCUACGGGAGGCAGCAGUGGGGAAUAUUGCGCAAUGGGCGAAAGCCUGACGCAGCGACGCCGCGUGAGGGAUGAAGGUUUUUCGGAUCGUAAACCUCUGUCAGAAGGGGAGAAAGUGCGUGGUGCUAAUCAGCCACGUAUUGACGGUACCUU
This 490-nucleotide ribosomal RNA is filed under the name uncultured bacterium. Its description in RNAcentral is "bacterial SSU rRNA". It matches the Rfam family "Bacterial small subunit ribosomal RNA", at positions 9 to 481 of the family's 1533-position model. The record is from RNAcentral.